ACGGAAGGCAGCAGUGAGGAAUAUUGGUCAAUGGGCGAGAGCCUGAACCAGCCAAGUCGCGUGAAGGAUGAAGGUUCUAUGGAUUGUAAACUUCUUUUGUUCGAGGGUAAAGUGAGGGAUGCGUCCCUUAUUGCAAGUAUCGAACGAAUAAGCAUCGGCUAACUCCGUGCCAGCAGCCGCGGUAAUACGGAGGAUGCGAGCGUUAUCCGGAUUUAUUGGGUUUAAAGGGUGCGUAGGCGGGAUGUUAAGUCAGCGGUGAAAGCGUGUAGCUCAACUAUACCAAGCCGUUGAAACUGGCGUUCUUGGGUGUAAACGAGGUAGGCGGAAUGUGACGUGUAGCGGUGAAAUGCUUAGAUAUGUCACAGAACCCCGAUUGCGAAGGCAGCUUACCAGCAUACAACUGACGCUGAGGCACGAAAGUGCGGGGAUCAAACAGGAUUAGAUACCCUGGUA
RNAcentral lists this ribosomal RNA (453 nucleotides) under uncultured Porphyromonadaceae bacterium. Its description in RNAcentral is "partial 16S ribosomal RNA". It matches the Rfam family "Bacterial small subunit ribosomal RNA", at positions 341 to 792 of the family's 1533-position model. The record is from RNAcentral. Lineage: Bacteria; Pseudomonadati; Bacteroidota; Bacteroidia; Bacteroidales; Porphyromonadaceae.